ACGUAAUAGAUACCCGGGUAGUCCACGCCCUAAACGAUGUCUACUAGUUGUUGGUGGAGUAAAAUCCAUGAGUAAACGCAGCUAAACGCGUGAAGUAGACCGCCUGGGGAGUACGGUCGCAAGAUUAAAACUCAAAUGAAUUGACGGGGGCCCGCACAAGCGGUGGAUUAUGUGGAUUAAAUUCGAUGCAACGCGAAAAACCUUACCUGGCCUUGACAUGUAACGAACUUUCCAGAGAUGGAUUGGUGCUCGAAAGAGAACGUUAACACAGGUGCUGCAUGGCUGUCGUCAGCUCGUGUCGUGAGAUGUUGGGUUAAGUCCCGCAACGAGCGCAACCCUUGCCAUUAAUUGCCAUCAUUAGUUGGGCACUUUAAUGGGACUGCCGGUGACAAACCGGAGGAAGGUGGGGAUGACGUCAGGUCCUCAUGGCCCUUAUGGCCAGGGCUUCACACGUAAUACAAUGGUCGGUACAGAGAGUUGCCAACCCGGCAGGGGGUAGCCAAUCUCAGAAAGCCGAUCGUAGUCCGGAUUGUAGUCUGCAACUC
RNAcentral lists this ribosomal RNA (545 nucleotides) under uncultured bacterium. RNAcentral's name for it is "bacterial SSU rRNA". It matches the Rfam family "Bacterial small subunit ribosomal RNA", at positions 773 to 1313 of the family's 1533-position model. The record is from RNAcentral.